RNAcentral lists this ribosomal RNA (506 nucleotides) under uncultured bacterium. RNAcentral describes it as "bacterial SSU rRNA". It matches the Rfam family "Bacterial small subunit ribosomal RNA", at positions 300 to 803 of the family's 1533-position model. The record is from RNAcentral.
AAGGUCCCCCACAUUGGAACUGAGACACGGUCCAAACUCCUACGGGAGGCAGCAGUGAGGAAUAUUGGUCAAUGGCCGGAAGGCUGAACCAGCCAAGUCGCGUGAGGGAAUAAGGCCCUACGGGUCGUAAACCCCUUUUGUCAGGGAGCAAGGCCGCCCACGUGUGGACGGAAGGAGAGUACCUGGAGAAAAAGCAUCGGCUAACUCCGUGCCAGCAGCCGCGGUAAUACGGAGGAUGCGAGCGUUAUCCGGAUUUAUUGGGUUUAAAGGGUGCGUAGGCGGCCUGCCAAGUCAGCGGUAAAAUUGCGGGGCUCAACCCCGUACAGCCGUUGAAACUGCCGGGCUCGAGUGGGCGAGAAGUAUGCGGAAUGCGUGGUGUAGCGGUGAAAUGCAUAGAUAUCACGCAGAACCCCGAUUGCGAAGGCAGCAUACCGGCGCCCUACUGACGCUGAGGCACGAAAGUGCGGGGAUCAAACAGGAUUAGAUACCCUGGUAGUCCGCACAGU